CUCUGUACUGCCGGGUUAACCUCUGUGCUACCGGGUUAACCUCUGUGCUACCAGAUUAGCUUCUGCGCUCCCGGGUUAGCCUCUGUGCUACCGGGUUAACCUCUGUGCUACAGGGUUAAUCUCUGUGCUACCAGGCUAGCCUCUGUGGUACCGGGUUAGCCUCUGUGCUACAGGGUUAACCUCUGUGCUACCGGCUUAACCUCUGUGCUACCUGGUUAGCCUCUAUGCUACAGGGUUAGCCUCUGUGCUACCGGGUUAACCUCUGUGCUACCGGGUUAGCCUCUGUGCUACCGGGUUAGCCUCUGUGCUACCGGGUUAACCUCUGUGCUACCGGGUUAGCCUCUGUGCUACCGGGUUAACCUCUUUGUUACCGGGUUAGCAUUUGUGCUACCGGGUUAGCCUCUGUGGUACCAGUUUAGCCUCUGUGCUACCGGGUUAGCCUUUGUGCUACCAGUUUAGCUGUCAAUCCUGAUUAUGAGUCUAUGAUGUAAAAGAGGGAGCAGAUUAAUGGCUAAAAUGUAAAAAGUAACAUGCUUCCUCGGCGUCCCGUGUUCUUUUCUCUAUCGAUCCUCGGGUUCACCUGACAUCCCAGGUGUAAAGUCUCUGAUUAGAUCACUGGAUAGAAAACCAGCAGGGAUCAGAAUGCUGACGACGUGAAUCUAUAACCACUGAUUUAUAUUCACACCUGCGUGCACGCAUCUCGCCGGGACCUCAUUGAUUACACGAAUGCCCUCAGCCACUAACCCUAAUCUUCACCCUCACCACUCAAUAUCUCACCUUAAGACCGUGAUCUUAAUGUAUUCCCAAUGAAACUUUAUAGGACUACUCAGUUGCUUUCCACCUAUCAACUAUUCACUUUACUGCAAACUGAUUCCAUGCCCGUGCAGGAUGCAAGUUCAUAUUUGCUUAUGAAAUAUUAUAUUUUCUGCAUUUCUGAUUGAUAUUGUUAGACGUGAAGGUAUACAAAUUUAGACUUAAUUAUCAUUCAUCUAUAAUUAAUUAUGUACAAAUGAAAUGCUUAAUUUAUGUAUUUUUUUAAAGGCUUUAUUGUUUUAUACUGGUUGUAUCCAUCUACUGUCUUAAUGAAAAACACAUAUAUAGUGCUAAUCGCAUUAAGUUGUGUCUAAUGAUGUAUUUGAGUGAACAAAAACUUAAAUCAUAACUCUGCCAAGCACAACUUUAACCCUGAGCAUUACAGUCCACACAGUUUUCUGGCAUCAUUUAUGUUUCAUAUUUUUUAAUUGGAAGCCUUACCCUGCAUAUGUAAAUCAAUACAGAUUUAUUAAUUGCAUUUGAGGUCCAUGAUCCGCGUGAUACUGUUGUGUAUUUGACAUCAGUCAAUUUGUAUAUUUGUACAAAACUUGUAGUGGCUUGACCUUGAAAAUACGUCAAUUUAAAAUGAAAGAAUCCUCAGUCAUCCAAAGUCACGAUCACUCUUUCAGUCUCUCUCUUUCACUCUCUCUUUUCAGCAGCACACGAACCAGCGAGCCCGCACACUCGGCCUUGUCAAAAAAUGAAAAGGUAAAAAUCUCUCUGCACUGAAUGUGUUCCCACGGUCUUCAUGGUUCCCUUUCAAAGACGCCGAGGAGCCUGAGUGGAAAAGAAAAUUGAAAUAAGUGACAACUAAUGACCUGAGAUUUAGAGUACGGGGUAAGAGGGCUUUUCAUUGCAUAUCAAACACACCGCGAUCUACCUGCUCCUAAGCCUCAAUGCUCUGAUGCCUUCUGAACAAGCACUUACUCCUCCGCGUUGGGGUCGGAUAAUGCUUUUGCAGACGUGCAGUGGAGUCCUCAAAUGCUGUGUGAUUCAUUCUGUCCCCGGCGAGAAACGGAGGUGAAGUUCAACUCUCCCAGCCAGCAGGGUCGGUCGCCCCCCGAGCGGAGCGGCACAGGCUCCGAGCUGCUCGCCGACCAACGGUGGAGUUAGCAUCGUAUCCACCGGUUAUCCAAUGCAGCAGUAAUUAUUUCCCCAGAGGCAGUGGGCCUGCAUUAAGCUGAGAAGCAGAAUAUGCCGACAGAGUGUGAUCGAUUGGGGAGAAAACAUAAAGCAGCCGAGCUGAGCUGUUGGAUGGAGUGUGUUUGCUUUAUUGAGUAACUGUAGCUUUUGAUAAUUGGAGUACAAGCUGGAGAAGCCAUUAGUGCAGCCCAACCCUCGCAACUACCUGACCGUAACCGCCACCUCGUCCUCGCCGACAGCGCUCCUCUCCUAAACCUAACUAACAGGGGUUGAUGCCUAAACCCUGAACUUAGCCUUUUAGACGCUUAUAAGGGGUCUUCUGAAGCGGGCUUGUACUGAAUGAACUUCAUUUUGUUUAAUAUCACUCUCAGAAUGAAUUAGUUCUUCCCCCGGUUGAUUUAAAAAGAAUCCAACCAUCCUCCCCCGUCCCGUCCCUGCUCAGGUGACAUAUUGCCUGAAUACGUGAAAGCACGUCCGCAGCAUCAGCUGACUUUCCUCCUGCCCACAGAUGCCUCCGCAGCUUCAGCAUGACCUCAGACCAGGUGGAUCUCCGGGGAUCUCUCAGUCCGUCACGUCCCAUCUCGUCACAGCCUGCUUGGCCCAUAUGUUCCUCUGGCAGGUGUCCUCCUCCCCGUCACCUUUGUGCUCCGUCACCCCGCUUUGAACCCCCGGAAGCUCUCAGGUACUCCACAAGGGACACGCGCCCGCCAGAGGAAGUGGCUAUUUUAAGGGCAGGUUCCUAUGGGAGUUUUUGUUUAUUUGAGCACAUUCGCGGGACGGAAAUAUGUCGGCAUGGAGCCUUUUUUGGCUCAGUCAGAGGUUCCGGAAAGAAAACACAUCUCAUAUAAAUGAUUUACCCUUGAUUACAUAAAUGUUUAUCUUUUAAUUAAUUUGAAGGGACAGGAAGGCUCUGGAUACUUGAUUUUCAAACAUUAUCAUACUUGUAAGAAGUAUGUGACAUAUUACAUACUUCAAAUAGUACUAUUUUAUCAUCAAAAAGAAUACCAUUUUUUGUCAUAUUCUCUACACACAAGUCACAUCUUUCUUGAUUUGCUCCUCGGAUUCUGUCAAAUGCAAAUUACACUUCGAUGCCUCCUCGGCAUCCUUCUGUGAUUGUUUUUGUGUUUUGGGAUUGAAAGGUCGGUGCGGCCUGGACCAAAUGGAUUCCUCUACUGGGGCUGAGAUGGUUUA
Long non-coding RNA from Gasterosteus aculeatus aculeatus (three-spined stickleback), 3147 nucleotides. Lineage: Eukaryota; Metazoa; Chordata; Actinopteri; Perciformes; Gasterosteidae. The record is from Ensembl.